This 374-nucleotide ribosomal RNA is filed under the name Lysiphlebus fabarum. RNAcentral describes it as "partial large subunit ribosomal RNA". Lineage: Eukaryota; Metazoa; Arthropoda; Insecta; Hymenoptera; Braconidae. The record is from RNAcentral.
AGUCUAAUCUGCCCAAUGAAAAUUUUAAUGGCUGCAGUAUCAAUAACUGUACAAAGGUAGCAAAAUAAUUAGUUUUUUAAUUAAAAACUAGAAGGAAAGAUUAAAUGAAAUAUAAACUUUAUAAAUAAAAUAAAAAUUAAAAUUAAAUUUUAAGUUAAAAUUCUAAAAUAUAAUUAAAAGACGAGAAGACCCUUUAGAAUUUUAUAUUAAUUUAAAUUAAAAUUAAAAUAUUAUUUAUAUAAAUUUAAACUAAUAUUUAAUUGGGGUAAUUUUUUAAUUUCAUAAACUUUAAAAUAAUUAAACAUUAAUUUAUGAAUUUAUAAACCUAAAAUUUAGAAUUUUAAAAUAAAUUACCUUAGGGAUAACAGCGUAAA